GCGUGCUAAUACAUGCAAGUAGAACGCUGAAGGAGGAGCUUGCUCUUCUGGAAGAGUUGCGAACGGGUGAGUAACGCGUAGGUAACCUGCCUGGUAGCGGGGGAUAACUAUUGGAAACGAUAGCUAAUACCGCAUAAGAUUGAAUAUCGCAUGAUAAUUGAUUAAAAGAUGCAAAUGCAUCACUACCAGAUGGACCUGCGUUGUAUUAGCUAGUAGGUGAGGUAACGGCUCACCUAGGCGACGAUACAUAGCCGACCUGAGAGGGUGAUCGGCCACACUGGGACUGAGACACGGCCCAGACGCCUACGGGAGGCAGCAGUAGGGAAUCUUCGGCAAUGGGGGCAACCCUGACCGAGCAACGCCGCGUGAGUGAAGAAGGUUUUCGGAUCGUAAAGCUCUGUUGUAAGAGAAGAACGAGUGUGAGAGUGGAAAGUUCACACUGUGACGGUAUCUUACCAGAAAGGGACGGCUAACUACGUGCCAGCAGCCGCGGUAAUACGUAGGUCCCGAGCGUUGUCCGGAUUUAUUGGGCGUAAAGCGAGCGCAGGCGGUUAGAUAAGUCUGAAGUUAAAGGCUGUGGCUUAACCAUAGUACGCUUUGGAAACUGUUUAACUUGAGUGCAGAAGGGGAGAGUGGAAUUCCAUGUGUAGCGGUGAAAUGCGUAGAUAUAUGGAGGAACACCGGUGGCGAAAGCGGCUCUCUGGUCUGUAACUGACGCUGAGGCUCGAAAGCGUGGGGAGCGAACAGGAUUAGAUACCCUGGUAGUCCACGCCGUAAACGAUGAGUGCUAGGUGUUAGGCCCUUUUCCGGGGCUUAGUGCCGUAGCUAACGCAUUAAGCACUCCG
This 845-nucleotide ribosomal RNA is filed under the name uncultured Streptococcus sp. Its description in RNAcentral is "bacterial SSU rRNA". It matches the Rfam family "Bacterial small subunit ribosomal RNA", at positions 42 to 871 of the family's 1533-position model. The record is from RNAcentral. Lineage: Bacteria; Bacillati; Bacillota; Bacilli; Lactobacillales; Streptococcaceae.